GGUUCCUACGGGGGGCAGCAGUGAGGAAUAUUGGUCAAUGGGCUAAGGCCUGAACCAGCCAAGUCGCGUGAGGGAAGACGGUCCUAUGGAUUGUAAACCUCUUUUGUCGGGGAGCAACGAGGCCACGUGUGGCCGAAGUGAGAGUACCCGAAGAAAAAGCAUCGGCUAACUCCGUGCCAGCAGCCGCGGUAAUACGGAGGAUGCGAGCGUUAUCCGGAUUUAUUGGGUUUAAAGGGUGCGUAGGCGGACGCUUAAGUCAGCGGUAAAAUUGCGGGGCUCAACCUCGUCGAGCCGUUGAAACUGGG
Molecule: ribosomal RNA, 305 nt
Filed under: uncultured bacterium
Lineage: Bacteria
Description: bacterial SSU rRNA
Rfam family: Bacterial small subunit ribosomal RNA
Source: RNAcentral